RNAcentral lists this unclassified non-coding RNA (343 nucleotides) under soil metagenome. RNAcentral's name for it is "partial contains 5.8S ribosomal RNA, internal transcribed spacer 2, and large subunit ribosomal RNA". The stretch from base 1 to 120 matches the Rfam family "5.8S ribosomal RNA", at positions 35 to 154 of the family's 154-position model. The record is from RNAcentral.
GAUGAAGAACGCAGCGAAAUGCGAUAAGUAAUGUGAAUUGCAGAAUUCAGUGAAUCAUCGCAUCUUUGAACGCACAUUGCGCCCGCCAGCAUUCUGGCGGGCAUGCCUGUUCGAGCGUCAUUUCAACCCUCGAGCCCCCCCGGGGGCCUCGGUGUUGGGGGACGGCACACCAGCCGCCCCCGAAAUGCAGUGGCGACCCCGCCGCAGCCUCCCCUGCGUAGUAGCACACACCUCGCACCGGAGCGCGGAGGCGGUCACGCCGUAAAACGCCCAACUUUCUUAGAGUUGACCUCGGAUCAGGUAGGAAUACCCGCUGAACUUAAGCAUAUCAAUAAGCGGAGGA